AACGAACGCUGGCGGCAGGCUUAACACAUGCAAGUCGAACGCACCUUUCGUGGUGAGUGGCAGACGGGUGAGUAACGCGUGGGAAUCUACCCUUCUCUACGGGAUAGCUCCGGUAAACUGGAAUUAAUACCGUAUACGUCCUGAGGGAGAAAGAUUUAUCGUGGAAGGAUGAGCCCGCGUUGGAUUAGCUAGUUGGUGGGGUAAAGGCCUACCAAGGCGACGAUCCAUAGCUGGUCUAAGAGGAUGAUCAGCCACAUUGGGACUGAGACACGGCCCAAACUACUACGGGAGGCAGCAGUGGGGAAUAUUGGAAAAUGGGCGCAAGCCUGAUCCAGCCAUGCCGCGUGAGUGAUGAAGGCCCUAGGGUUGUAAAGCUCUUUCAGUGGGGACGAUAAUGACGGUACCCACAGAAGAAGCCCCGGCUAACUUCGUG
RNAcentral lists this ribosomal RNA (433 nucleotides) under uncultured bacterium. Its description in RNAcentral is "partial 16S ribosomal RNA". It matches the Rfam family "Bacterial small subunit ribosomal RNA", at positions 29 to 507 of the family's 1533-position model. The record is from RNAcentral.